Desmophyllum pertusum is the source of this 76-nucleotide non-coding RNA. The record is from the annotation of a GenBank genome assembly. Lineage: Eukaryota; Metazoa; Cnidaria; Anthozoa; Scleractinia; Caryophylliidae.
UCUCCUGUAGCUAAGUGGUAGAGCGUCCGCCCAGUGUGCGGAAGUCAUAGGUUAAGUUAGACUCCCCUUGGGAGAA